RNAcentral lists this non-coding RNA (919 nucleotides) under Opisthotropis kuatunensis (Chinese mountain keelback). Lineage: Eukaryota; Metazoa; Chordata; Lepidosauria; Squamata; Natricidae. The record is from RNAcentral.
CAUGGUCUUGGUCUUGAACCUCCUAUUACCUCUAACCCCAAAUUAUACAUGCAAGCCUCACCACAACAGUGAAAUAGCCCACCACAACCCACAUGGAGCCGGUAUCAGACACAACCAACGACACCAAGCAAAAGCCACACCCCCACGGGCCAACAGCAGUAACUAACAUUAGGCCAUAAGUGCCCAAACUUGACCUAGCAAGGGGCCAUUACCAGGGCCGGUUAAUCUCGUGCCAGCGACCGCGGUUACACGACAGACCCAAGAUAAUAGUAUCGGCGUAAAGCACGACUAAAUAGCAGUACACCAUAUUCGGGAUAAACUAAACCGGGCUGUAAAAAGCCAUAAGACACAUGAACCACACCCCCAAUACUCAAACCACUUCAACUCGUGAAAAUAGGAAUACAAACUAAGAUUAGAUACCUUACUAUGCCUAACCUAACAUACAAUAAAAUAACCAAUUGUUCGCCAAACAACUACGAGUAAAAACUUAAAACUUAAAAGACUUGACGGUACUUCACACCACCCUAGAGGAGCCUGUCUAAUAACCGAUACUCCACGAUUAACCCAACCCCCCCUAGCCAAACAGUCUAUAUACCGCCAUCGCCAGCUUACCUUGUGAAAGAAACAAAGUAAACACAACAGCACCACUAAUACGAUAGGUCGAGGUGUAACUAAUGGGCGGGAAAAAGAUGGGCUACAUUUUCUAACACAGAAAACACGAAUAGACUAUGAAAAUAGAAACCGAAGGCGGAUUUAGAAGUAUGAUAAGGACAAAAUACUUAACCGAAAUAAAAGCAAUGAAGUGCGUACACACCGCCCGUCAUCCCUGUCAAAAACAACAAAAUUCCAUAAACACAUAAAAUAUACUAAACAGGGCAAGUCGUAACAUGGUAAGCGUACUGGAAAGUGCGCUUAGAAA